This 253-nucleotide ribosomal RNA is filed under the name uncultured bacterium. Its description in RNAcentral is "partial 16S ribosomal RNA". It matches the Rfam family "Bacterial small subunit ribosomal RNA", at positions 524 to 776 of the family's 1533-position model. The record is from RNAcentral.
UACGAAGGGGGCUAGCGUUGCUCGGAAUCACUGGGCGUAAAGGGCGCGUAGGCGGCCAUUCCAGUCGGGGGUGAAAGCCUGUGGCUCAACCACAGAAUUGCCUUCGAUACUGUUUGGCUUGAGUUUGGUAGAGGUUGGUGGAACUGCGAGUGUAGAGGUGAAAUUCGUAGAUAUUCGCAAGAACACCAGUGGCGAAGGCGGCCAACUGGACCAACACUGACGCUGAGGCGCGAAAGCGUGGGGAGCAAACAGG